This 253-nucleotide ribosomal RNA is filed under the name uncultured bacterium. RNAcentral's name for it is "partial 16S ribosomal RNA". It matches the Rfam family "Bacterial small subunit ribosomal RNA", at positions 524 to 776 of the family's 1533-position model. The record is from RNAcentral.
GACGAACCGUACGAACGUUAUUCGGAAUCACUGGGCUUAAAGGGUGCGUAGGCGGCGCUGAAAGUUGGGUGUGAAAUCCCUCGGCUCAACCGAGGAACUGCGCCCAAAACUACAGUGCUCGAGGGAGAUAGAGGUGAGCGGAACUUAGGGUGGAGCGGUGAAAUGCGUUGAUAUCCUAAGGAACGCCAGGGGCGAAAGCGGCUCACUGGAUCUCUUCUGACGCUGAGGCACGAAAGCUAGGGUAGCGAACGGG